UCCGGUUUAUCACCGGCAGUCUCCACAGAGUCCACGGCUUCACCCCGCAUGUCAAGCCCUGGUAAGGUUCUUCGCGUUGCGUCGAAUUAAGCCACAUGCUCCGCCGCUUGUGCGGGCCCCCGUCAAUUCCUUUGAGUUUUAGCCUUGCGGCCGUACUCCCCAGGCGGGGUGCUUAAUGCGUUAGCUUCGGCACGGAAGGGGUCGAUAUCCCCCCACACCUAGCACCCAUCGUUUACGGCUGGGACUAC
Molecule: unclassified non-coding RNA, 248 nt
Filed under: uncultured Actinomycetes bacterium
Lineage: Bacteria; Bacillati; Actinomycetota; Actinomycetes
Description: uncultured actinobacterium contains 16S-23S intergenic spacer region
Source: RNAcentral